This 805-nucleotide ribosomal RNA is filed under the name Kocuria sp. S2IP8(2011). RNAcentral describes it as "bacterial SSU rRNA". It matches the Rfam family "Bacterial small subunit ribosomal RNA", at positions 544 to 1345 of the family's 1533-position model. Lineage: Bacteria; Bacillati; Actinomycetota; Actinomycetes; Micrococcales; Micrococcaceae. The record is from RNAcentral.
UCCGGAAUUAUUGGGCGUAAAGAGCUCGUAGGCGGUUUGUCGCGUCUGCUGUGAAAGCCCGGGGCUUAACCCCGUGGUGUGCAGUGGGUACGGGCAGACUUGAGUGCAGUAGGGGAGACUGGAAUUCCUGGUGUAGCGGUGAAAUGCGCAGAUAUCAGGAGGAACACCGAUGGCGAAGGCAGGUCUCUGGGCUGUUACUGACGCUGAGGAGCGAAAGCAUGGGGAGCGAACAGGAUUAGAUACCCUGGUAGUCCAUGCCGUAAACGUUGGGCACUAGGUGUGGGGGACAUUCCACGUUUUCCGCGCCGUAGCUAACGCAUUAAGUGCCCCGCCUGGGGAGUACGGCCGCAAGGCUAAAACUCAAAGGAAUUGACGGGGGCCCGCACAAGCGGCGGAGCAUGCGGAUUAAUUCGAUGCAACGCGAAGAACCUUACCAAGGCUUGACAUACACCAGACCGGCCCAGAGAUGGGUUUUCCUCUUUGAGGUUGGUGUACAGGUGGUGCAUGGUUGUCGUCAGCUCGUGUCGUGAGAUGUUGGGUUAAGUCCCGCAACGAGCGCAACCCUCGUUCUAUGUUGCCAGCACGUGAUGGUGGGGACUCAUAGGAGACUGCCGGGGUCAACUCGGAGGAAGGUGGGGAUGACGUCAAAUCAUCAUGCCCCUUAUGUCUUGGGCUUCACGCAUGCUACAAUGGCCGGUACAAUGGGUUGCGAUACCGUGAGGUGGAGCUAAUCCCAAAAAGCUGGUCUCAGUUCGGAUCGUGGUCUGCAACUCGACCACGUGAAGUCGGAGUCGCUAGUAAUCGC